GACGAACGCUGGCGGCGUGCUUAACACAUGCAAGUCGAACGGAAAGGCCCUGCUUUUGUUGGGUGCUCGAGUGGCGAACGGGUGAGUAACACGUGAGUAACCUGCCCUUGACUUUGGGAUAACUUCAGGAAACUGGGGCUAAUACCGGAUAUGAGCUCCUGCUCCAUGGUGGGGGUUGGAAAGUUUCGGCGGUUGGGGCUGGACUCGCGGCUUAUCGGCUUGUUGGUGGGGUAGUGGCUUACCAAGGCUUUGACGGCUAGCCGGCCUGCGAGGGUGACCGGGGACAUUGGGCCUAAGAUACGGCGCAGAGUGGAAGGGGAGGCAAUAGUGGGGAGUCUUGCACAAUGGGCCGGCGCCUGAGGCAGAGACGUCGCGUGCGGGAUGACGGCAUUCGGGUUGUAAACCGCUUUCGCCUGUGACGAAGCGUGAGUGACGGUAAUGGGUAAAGAAGCACCGGCUAACUACGUG
RNAcentral lists this ribosomal RNA (468 nucleotides) under uncultured bacterium. RNAcentral describes it as "partial 16S ribosomal RNA". It matches the Rfam family "Bacterial small subunit ribosomal RNA", at positions 28 to 507 of the family's 1533-position model. The record is from RNAcentral.